AAAUUAAAAAAAAAAGAGGCAGCGCCUCUUGUAUGUUUCUUUUCAUUUUUUUUUCUGAAACUCUCUCCAUCUCUUUCGAUGAACAACAACAGCAAAAGCUUUCUCUCUUUCGGUUUCGAUCGCUAUCUCCUCUCUCUUCGUCGCUAAAUACGUCUCUCGCGAUUUUUCAAACAAGGAACUCGGCCAUGAAACCGAAGCUUCCUCUCUCUCGAUCGCUACUCUCUGUCAGUGAACAACAACGACAACAACUUCUCGGCGUCACUCUCGGUGCUCUCAUGGUUAGGGAACUAAGUUCACAGGAAACAAACAGCAAUUUCGGGAGAAAGUGUGAAGUCGAUUUACCUACGGCAAGGAGGUUUUCGCCGGAUUAUUGUUGAGCUUCCGACGGAAUCGGCCGUGUUUCAGAAUCUUUGGUGAUGAAGUGCUGCAAGUUGAAGUAACGAUUCGGCCUUCGUCGUAAUUGCGGAGUUUGUCGGCAGCUGAUUGAAGGAUGAUGAGUAAGAUUGAAGGAUGAUGAGUAAGUUUCGAUUACUUCUCCUGUUUUUCUGUUUUCUAUAAAUUUCCGGUGCAUUUUAUAAUGAUUGAAUUUAGUUGGUCAUCUAACAAGUUUAACUCUUAACCAAGACUUAUUUUGUCCUCUAGCUUUCCCAAAAGAAACCUCACUUUCAUUUAUAAAAGGUCAUCAAAGAGGUGGAGAAGUAAUUCUUCAUAUCUUGUUUACUAGCAACUUUCAACAACUUAAAGCUUCUUUUUCAAAUCUCCCAAAAAAAGAUCUUCAUCUUCAAACCUCCAACUUCUAACAAGCUCAACCUUUGAGCAUCCCUAACAUCCAAAUUUCCCGCAAAUCCAAAUAGAAUUUGCAGCAUCAUCUUCCUCAAAGGAACCUGUAACAACCAUCAACAACAAUUCAAAGUUGUUUCAAUAACAAUCUCAAAGUUGUUCUAUGACUUAGCUUAGGACUUAAGCUUGCUUGGUGACUAAAUAAAUUUAAUCAUCUCAAAAUAUGCACUUGAGUAGUUUAAUCCACUUGAGUAGAUUCUUCUCAACUCCCUCUCUUUAAAUCACUUAACGGGACAAUAAACUGUACAAAAACAAGAUGCAACAAAAAAAAUGAAUGAAUCUGCCAUGAAUUCAUAAUCAAGAAGUUUUUCUAGAGAAGAAGAGAAAGAAAUCAUGUUGAUGGGUAUAGACACACUAAGAAGAAAAAACAAAAAUCACUUUGUGUCUCUAUGGGUUUCAACCAUAUGAUUCAUUCACUUGUUGUUUUCACCAAAGAAACAACUAUUUAAAUCAAGGAGGGAAAAUAAGUCUUGUGAAGCUUUGAUCCAGAUCAAGUGAAACUGUGAUUCAAAUCAAUUUUAGUUGAUUCUAAUCAAUUUUUACAUUUGAUUCAGAUCAUAUGAGGUUGUCAUUCGAAUCAUGUUUGUUUUGUGAUUAGAAUCACGUAUUACACUUUAUUCAAAUCAUAGAAAAAUCCAGAUCAAAUGUAUUACACUUUAUUCAAAGCAAAUGACUAAAAAUCCAGAUUUAAGAGUUCUAACUUGUGAUUCAAGCUGCUCUUGAUGAAACAAAAAAGUAGCAACUAGCUAGGCUAAAAAAAUAAUAAUAUCAAGGAUCAAAUACUUUUUUAAAUUAGUAAGAAAGAUUCUUUGUGAUAUAACAAUACAAUAGUCGAAGUGAUUAUAAAUGAAUAGCGAAUAGAAUACAAGCACAUGAUUAUAGAAUCAAAUUACAAAUACGUAAAUACUAAAACAACUAUUUUGAAUUGGCAAAAACUUCAAAACAACUAAAUGAUACCAUACAAUACUCUGACUGCACUUCCGCCAUGUAUACUAUUCGCAAUUUUCGUUCAAUGUCUAUCUAGGCCAUUCUCCUCAACAUAAAGGCUUAACAUAAAGGCUUAAAAUGCUUAAGUCAAAUGGAAAAUUUUUCAUAUCAAAGAAUAUGAUUUUUAAUGAGGAACAUCUUCCUUUCCCUCGUCUAUUUUCUAAUAAACCAAGUACUUGAAUAGUCCAAUUACCUAUCUCUACCACGUCCCACAUAAAGCACAAAGGCCUUUAUCCCAAACUCUCAACCACUUGUUAUGACUACAACUCAUUUUGGACCUGACAUAUGCCUCAACCUAUACACACCCACUCACCCUAUGACAUAUCUCAUUCAAAAUCACACGCUUCACCUAAAGCAAAUGAACACAACAAUAUUCCUGAAAUUUCUCAAUAAAGGAUAGCCUUAGACAAUGAAAGGUCCAUAACUUUACUUGUUAAAAACCAUGAUCAUGUCAUUCAUACAUAUGUCAUAACUGAUUACUCUAUGGACACUAUCUCAUUUAGCUUACCUUUAAGCAUGAGUGCUAUGUCCCGUUCUCCUUUAUUUCACAAUAAUAAACUUGGUCAACCUCUCUUGCAAAAUGAACACCCUAUAUUGACUAGAGGUAAAAUAGAAAAAUCAAAAGCGUUUGUAGCUCACAUAGAAGCCUUUGUAUCUAAUUUGACACAAGCCAUGAAACUUGAAUAUGAUGCACUCAUUGAAAAGUAUACAUGGACUCUACAAAGUUACCUCCUUAUAGAUGUUUAGGGUCAAAGAAAACCCUAAUGGAAGUAUAAACAAAUAAAAAGCAAGAUUGGUAACUAAGGUUUAUCAUUAACAACAUGGCUUUGCCUUUAAUGAGACAUUCUCACUAGUGGUGAAAUCAACAAAAAUCAAAGUUAUGAUCGGUCUAUAUGUCACCAACAAGUGGGACAUUCAACAAAUAGAACUGAACGAUUUUUUUUCGAGAAAAGAGUAAAUUCAAAGAAAUUUGUCAUCCAACAUGUAUCAAUCUAUAUCGAACUUGAUAUUCACUUUAUUCGUGAAAAGAAUAAAUCCAAAGAAAUUUGUCAUCCAACAUGUAUCCAUCUAUGUUCAAAUUGCUGACACACUAACAAAAUUCCUCGGUGCAACAUUUUUUGUAAGGAUUGAAUACCAAAUUCAAGGUAAUUUGCUGUAAGCCUCCUUAAUCUUGUGGGAGACUGUUACAUUACAGAUAAAAGCAAGCAAGUCGUGUACACAAUAAUUAAAUAUAACUACUACUUAAUUAAAUAUAACUACUACUUAAUUUACCUUGUAAUACAGAGCCUUCGGCAGCUUCUUUAUAUGCCCAUUUGCAAGCAUUUUUAUUACUUUCAGAUGCAUAUCUAAAUUAAACAAAAUUCAUUCGUACGUUAGCGACAUGCAUUUGUAUACUUUGAAUAAUAUUGAUACUCUCUCUGGCAAUUAAUAUAAGCAAAUAUUCUCUCUUUAGAUUCAUUGAAUAAUGAAUGUAUCUGAUCUUUUAUGUAGACCAUAUACAAUCAUUAUUCAAUGAACUUAAAAAGAGAAUACUUGUUUAUAAUUCAGGUCGGAGGGAGUACUUGAUAGACACACCACUCAAGAAAGGCCUCACAAUAUUAUGGGCAAUGUGCCUUUUUAAUAAUAAUAGAAAAUGAUAUAUGGCCUAUAGAACUCACGUGAUUAGGCACGCGAUGUCGUCAGAGAUGCAGUUCUCCCAUUCUUCUACUUGAGUGCCCCAUACCUUCUAUUUAUUUAUUAAGAGAAUAAUCAAAAUGAACAACAAUAAGGUUUAAUUAUCGAUAAAUAUUAUUGUUAAAUUAGAUCAUCAACAACAUGCACGCGAGUACUGUAAUAUUGGUUUGAAUUGCAUCAAUGAAUUCUCCCAAAUCAAAGUUAUAGAAUCUUUCAACUUCACUCCCAAUUAUGCUAUUAUCCCAAACCUUCAUACAUACAACAAUAGUUAUAUAUAAGAUUUCACAAUAAAAAGUAUAUUAUAAACAAUACUACAUCAUAGAUAACAUACUUGGUGAAUGUUUGUUUUAUUUGCGAACCGCUGAACAAUAAUUGUAUUGCCUUCUUUGUCUGAGAGAAAGCUACAAUGUAGAGGUUGAUGAAUGUCUCCCAUUAAAUGUGAAAGGAAUAGAAGAGAUUCUGUGAGGUUAUCUGAUAUUUAUGAAAUUCAAACCAUUAAUUAUAUAACUUUUAAUUGGUAAAAAAAUAAUGUAAUUACCAUAGCCCUUCUUCCUAGAGUCAGCUGAUUCAAAGGGCAGUAACUGACUGAUUUGAUCUCCGAAUUCAUUUCAAUAGAUGGGAGAUAUUAAAAGUUAUCACUCUCUUUUGCUCCGCUCUCAUUCACUUUCUCUCGCUACCCACCGGCCACACACCACCAGUCACCACCUCCAAAGCACGAGCAGUGCUCGAGCACCCACCGCAAGGUCACCCACCGCCGCUGGGAGAUAAUAUAGCUAACAGAGCUGAAGCUUACAUGUAGAUUCUGAGUUACUGCCAUAGUGAAGAAGCUGGUUGGUGUAAUUAGUAAUUGCUCGCACAACGCAUCGACCUUUGGCUCCUGUUGUUGCAUCCAUACAAUCCCCUGAAAAUGUCACAUCCCCAACAUGAGUCAUUUGGUGUCAAAUUUGCAAGUAGAACUAAUUAGGAGAAGAUAUAAUACAGUGGCGGAGCCAGCGACUGGCUACCUAGGGCAGCUGCCCGGGCUCGACCGUCUCGAAUCACUUCCAUGGAACUCUUCUCUCCCUCAACACGAUGAACAAGAUGACAACUCUUUUUCACUCUUCACUGACUCCAAUGAACUCAAAGGAGGUUUAUUUCAUUCUUAUCUCAUUAAUUUCAUUUUAUCAUAGACACCAUUUCUCUAUAAUUAGCCUCAUAACUUCUUCAAAAGUUAUACACACAAUAAGCUUUACAUAUUACUUAUUUCUGUUUAUAUUCUUCCUGCCAUGUGUUUGAUGAAUUGCUUUACUAUACUAUGUUUGUAAUUGGUUAUUUUUGUUCAUACAUUGGUCAUGGCAUCGGUAUCGAAUUGUUGUUGUUACCACAGUUUUGCAUUUUGCACACUAAGUGUUUGGAAAGAAAAAAGUAUUGAAGCAAGCUCUUUUAUUCCGAAGUAAUAUCUGCCAUGAGAUAAUGUCGAGAUUUUGAAGCAAGCUCUUUUAAAUAACAAAGUGAGUUACAACUUACAAGGUUGGAUUCAAUUGUGUUUCAGGUCACACCAACUAGAACCAAGUAACAUGUCAUGAUCUUUAAAUAUGUGACACUGUUGCUAUACUCACUACUAUUACUAGUUUACUAUACUUCCUGAAUUUAUCAAAUUGUGAGUUUAAAGUCAUUGAACUCGCUUUUCCUUAAUUAAUUUAAUCCUUGUGUUUUCUUUCGUUUGGUUCAGUUUGGUCCGUGAAAUUACUCCAAGAAGAAAUUUAAUGCAUUUAGAGACCAAGAAAACUUAGGACUAUAGUGACAGAGUAUUAGAGUGAAAGUGAUAGUGAAAAAAUGAUUUCAUAAGGAAGUGGAAUUUUUAAAAGGAAAUGAUUGUCAUUUGAAACAUUUGAAGGAAAUGAUUUGUUGCUGCUAGCAAGGAAAGUACCUUUAGAACCUAUGAAUGAAGUGAUUUAUUAAUGUUGGAGUGGUUAGAGCUGCAGAGCUAAGGAAAAUAUUGGUGGAACUUGGGCCAGUAUGUCAUAUUGCUUAUUUUAUAAUUGUCGAAAGUUUAUUUUUUAAGAUGCAAGUGUCAGGAGUAUUAGCAAAGUGCAAAGGAGCAGACCAAGGAAACUGUUUUCUAACAUUAUCUGGCCAAGAACACAUACUGGCCAAGUCAUUUUCUGCUGAUUUUGGUAAUAAAUCUUUCACGGCUUCAGCAGCUGUGACGAGCCUGAGCAAUCUUGCAAACAGUGUAAUGUCCUUCCUCUCCCCAUCCUUGUGUGUUUGGAAGCAAAAGCAUGAAUGAAACUGUGGCUAUGGCUAUGACCAGCACUAGUUGAAUUUUGUAACUACCCAUUCUUGUUUACAACACAAAAAAGAAGAUUCGAACAAUGACUGAACUGAUUGUGUGUGGCAAA
Vicia villosa (hairy vetch) is the source of this 5882-nucleotide long non-coding RNA. RefSeq lists it as uncharacterized. The transcript has 7 exons. NCBI's taxonomy places the organism in Eukaryota, Viridiplantae, Streptophyta, Magnoliopsida, Fabales, Fabaceae. The record is from RefSeq and is a predicted model, not a curated record.